UUGUAUGAUGCGUUUACUACAAUCUAACCACUUGUCUCUUUUUGCUCAGUGUGAAACUUUAUGCGGCAAGCUAAUUAAUUGAAACAUAAAAAUUAUUCCUGGAAUAUAGGGAAAGGAAGGUCCACACAUUGAGAGACUGCUUAUCAUUAGCUGUUACCGUUACCGAAGAACUUCUCCUUUGACCAAUGCAGUGUAGAUUGACGCUCGACAUAUCCCUCUACAUGCGUGUCUCCUGACCUUGGGUGCAGCAUAGUCUAACGCUCCACGUAUUAAUUCGCUAAUAAGUUCAAUAAUAAUUCACUAUACGGAACAAAGUAUAUGGUCAUAGAUAGUUACAUGGCAACGUGACAUCUCCGCCCUUAACAAGUUUCGCCAUGGCGUUUCGCCGCGUAGAUGCUUUGGCUUUUUCGACGUCACGUUCUGAUUUAUACGAAGAAAUGUGGAUGAUGGAGACGCAAGAUCGUAACAGUUUUUGAACUUCAAUAAAAGUUUAAAUUUCUGCGAUAAAUUGUUUAUGAAAUACUCGAGAAUUUCUAUUUCUCUUAUUAUACCUUUAACUUAUUAUAACAAGGUACAUAAUCUUAGUUUCAAAAUAAUAGAGAAUAAAACCUAC
Long non-coding RNA from Vespula vulgaris, 613 nucleotides. RefSeq lists it as uncharacterized. The record is from RefSeq and is a predicted model, not a curated record. The transcript has 3 exons. NCBI's taxonomy places the organism in Eukaryota, Metazoa, Arthropoda, Insecta, Hymenoptera, Vespidae.